UCUGCCGUCUGAGGUUGGCCUGGCGUCUGGGCCGGGCCCCCGGCUGUCUCCUGUCUGCCACGUGGCAGCUCCUGAGCGCGUGCAGGUGAAGCCAGACCCGUUACUUUCGCACCGUCGAGCACGGAAACAGAAAACGCAAGCAGAGAUGCUAGGUCACCUGGGGUCGCGGAGAGCGCAGUUGGCGAGCCCGGUGGCCGCCUGUGCACGGUGGACUUACCCUUCCAGGCUGCCCGCACGAAGAUGGUGACUGGAUGGGUGGCCUCCAAGGCUAUGCAGACCAGUGUGUCGUUGCCUGCUGCGCACCUGUUAUGUAACUUCGUGCGGACACGCACACCUACGCUUUUUGGGUCAGAUGUUCCCUCUGUCAUACUUCUUUGUGUGGUACAACCAGGGAUGAUCCACCCUGAUUUUUCAAGGCCACACCAAAGGAAUCCUCCCUGCAGUGUUUGAAUGUGAUGACUCCAGGAGAAGCUAAAUAUUAG
Long non-coding RNA from Talpa occidentalis (Iberian mole), 482 nucleotides. RefSeq lists it as uncharacterized. NCBI's taxonomy places the organism in Eukaryota, Metazoa, Chordata, Mammalia, Eulipotyphla, Talpidae. The transcript has 3 exons. The record is from RefSeq and is a predicted model, not a curated record.